This 218-nucleotide unclassified non-coding RNA is filed under the name uncultured Tomentella. RNAcentral's name for it is "partial internal transcribed spacer 2". Lineage: Eukaryota; Fungi; Basidiomycota; Agaricomycetes; Thelephorales; Thelephoraceae. The record is from RNAcentral.
ACACCUCAACUCUCAUGGUUUUGCCGUGAUGAGCUUGGACUUUGGAGGUCUUGCUGGCCUGUGGUCAGCUCCUCUCAAACGAAUCAGCUUGCCAGUGUUUGGUGGCGUCACAGGUGUGAUAACUAUCUACGCUUGUGGCUUCCGCUGGGUAACCUUCAGUGAUGGAGGUUCGCUGGAGCUCAUAAACGUCUCUCCUCAGUGAGGACAGCUUCUUGAAU